UGACUAUAAUUCUUUUCGCUUGGCGAUAA
This 29-nucleotide small RNA is filed under the name Bombyx mori (domestic silkworm). Its description in RNAcentral is "ovarian small RNA-31894". Lineage: Eukaryota; Metazoa; Arthropoda; Insecta; Lepidoptera; Bombycidae. The record is from RNAcentral.